GAUGAACGCUAGCUACAGGCUUAACACAUGCAAGUCGAGGGACCGGCGGACGGGUGAGUAACACGUAUCCAACCUGCCCUUUACUCGGGGAUAGUCUUUCGAAAGAAAGAUAAAUACACGAUGUAAAGGAUGGGGAUGCGUUCCUUUAGGUUGUUGGUGAGGUAACGGCUCACCAAGCAUUCGAUGGAUAGGGGUUCUGAGAGGAAGGUCCCCCACAUUGGAACUGAGACACGGUCCAAACGCCUACGGGAGGCAGCAGUGAGGAAUAUUGGUCAAUGGGCGUUAGCCUGAACCAGCCAAGUAGCGUGAAGGAUGAAGGCUUAUGGGUCGUAAACUUCUUUUAUAUAAGAAUAUGUAUUAUAUGAAUAAGGAUCGGCUAACUCCGUGCCAGCAGCCGCGGUAAUAC
Molecule: ribosomal RNA, 406 nt
Filed under: uncultured bacterium
Lineage: Bacteria
Description: partial 16S ribosomal RNA
Rfam family: Bacterial small subunit ribosomal RNA
Source: RNAcentral